CUUAAAUUGGUUUAGAUGUGUUGGUUAAACUUAAAUUGAUAUUGGUUUAGAGAUUUUAUUUGGUUUAAUUCAAUUUUACAAAAUUUGAUGGGUUAAUUGGGUAAACCAUUGAAACCAUUAACCAUUACAACCCAACUCAUUUUACUCAUCAAACCAAUUGACCCAAUAACUCAUUUGACCCAUCAACUCAUUUGAGUCAAAAAUUUCAACUAAUUAGGAAUCAUGGGUUGAGUUGAGUUGAGUUGACCCAUGAAUUCUGACCCAUUUUGACACCCCUAAUCAUAACGCUCGAAGUUAAAAACAUAGACCAUGUCUUCAUUCUCAUUUUAUCAACUCUAUAACGUUGCUUAUAAAGUCAUAAUAGCCUAAUAAUCAUCAUAUUAAAGUAAAGAAUUUUAAUUAUA
Molecule: small RNA, 404 nt
Filed under: Arabidopsis thaliana (thale cress)
Lineage: Eukaryota; Viridiplantae; Streptophyta; Magnoliopsida; Brassicales; Brassicaceae
Description: ATSL258880
Source: RNAcentral